Molecule: ribosomal RNA, 253 nt
Filed under: uncultured bacterium
Lineage: Bacteria
Description: partial 16S ribosomal RNA
Rfam family: Bacterial small subunit ribosomal RNA
Source: RNAcentral
UACGGAGGGUGCAAGCGUUAUCCGGAUUCACUGGGUUUAAAGGGUGCGUAGGAGGGCAGGUAAGUCAGUGGUGAAAUCUCCAAGCUUAACUUGGAAACUGCCGUUGAUACUAUCUGUCUUGAAUACCGUGGAGGUGAGCGGAAUAUGUCAUGUAGCGGUGAAAUGCUUAGAUAUGACAUAGAACACCCAUUGCGAAGGCAGCUCACUACACAAAAAUUGACGCUGAGGCACGAAAGCGUGGGGAGCAAACAGG